UGGGGAAUAUUGCACAAUGGGCGCAAGCCUGAUGCAGCCAUGCCGCGUGUAUGAAGAAGGCCUUCGGGUUGUAAAGUACUUUCAGCGGGGAGGAAGGCGAUAAGGUUAAUAACCUUGUCGAUUGACGUUACCCGCAGAAGAAGCACCGGCUAACUCCGUGCCAGCAGCCACGGUAAUACGGAGGGUGCAAGCGUUAAUUGGAAUUACUGGGCGUAAAGCGCACGCAGGCGGUCUGUCAAGUCGGAUGUGAAAUCCCCGGGCUCAACCUGGGAACUGCAUUCGAAACUGGCAGGCUAGAGUCUUGUAGAGGGGGGUAGAAUUCCAGGUGUAGCGGUGAAAUGCGUAGAGAUCUGGAGGAAUACCGGUGGCGAAGGCGGCCCCCUGGACAAAGACUGACGCUCAGGUGCGAAAGCGUGGGGAGCAAACA
RNAcentral lists this ribosomal RNA (427 nucleotides) under uncultured bacterium. RNAcentral's name for it is "partial 16S ribosomal RNA". It matches the Rfam family "Bacterial small subunit ribosomal RNA", at positions 355 to 774 of the family's 1533-position model. The record is from RNAcentral.